UCGCUGGGAACACAUGGCAGCACUAUACAGGUUGAAACAGCAUUCAAUCUGCAUCAAGUUGUUAUCAGAGCACUUUCCUUGGACCUAUGCAUCACAAAUCACAAAUUUCUUCUUCCAUUUUACCUGAAAAUCUCCUCAAAUUCCUUCACCCACCCCCCCGCCCCCCCCAACCUAAACCCUGAAUUCUUUGAAAAAUUUCCUCAAAACACCAUCUUUGCUUCUGAAAAUGCAAGCCUUUAGGACACAAAAAAGGAAGACACCAAUUUUUGGAAUCUAGAAGAAUUUGAAGGCAAAUAGUGAAGACAGCACCUAG
This 313-nucleotide unclassified non-coding RNA is filed under the name Hevea brasiliensis (rubber tree). The record is from RNAcentral. Lineage: Eukaryota; Viridiplantae; Streptophyta; Magnoliopsida; Malpighiales; Euphorbiaceae.